This 73-nucleotide transfer RNA is filed under the name Fucus distichus. RNAcentral's name for it is "tRNA-Met". It matches the Rfam family "tRNA". Rfam says of the family: Transfer RNA (tRNA) molecules are approximately 80 nucleotides in length. Their secondary structure includes four short double-helical elements and three loops (D, anti-codon, and T loops). RNAcentral also lists the same sequence under 3 other names. Lineage: Eukaryota; Phaeophyceae; Fucales; Fucaceae. The record is from RNAcentral.
CGGUCUGUAGUUUAAUUGGUAAAACAUAGUUCUCAUGAAGCUACCAUUGUAGGUUCAACUCCUACCGGACUGA